RNAcentral lists this ribosomal RNA (496 nucleotides) under uncultured bacterium. Its description in RNAcentral is "bacterial SSU rRNA". It matches the Rfam family "Bacterial small subunit ribosomal RNA", at positions 30 to 507 of the family's 1533-position model. The record is from RNAcentral.
AUGAACGCUAGCGGCAGGCUUAAUACAUGCAAGUUGAGGGGCAGCAUGAUAUACGCGAGUAUAUUGAUGGCGACCGGCGGACGGGUGAGUAAUAGGUAGGAACCUACCUCAUACGAGGGGGAUAGCAUAGAGAAAUCUGUGGUAAUACCCCCAUGAGGUUAUAUGAAUAGAGGCAUAUAAUCAAAGCAUAAGCGAUUAUGCGGUAUGAGAGGGGCCUACUGACCAUUAGCUAGUUGGUGAGGUAAGGGCUCACCAAGGCGAAGAUGGUUAGGGGUUUUGAGAGAGAGACCCCCCACAUUGGAACUGAGAGACGGUCCAGACUCCUACGGGAGGCAGCAGUAGGGAAUAUUGGGCAAUGGGCGAAAGCCUGACCCAGCCAUGCCGCGUGAAGGAAGACGGCCUUAUGGGUUGUAAACUUCUUUACUACGCGAAUAGAGGUUAGUACGAGAUACUAAUAGGAAGGUAGUGUAGUAAAAAGCACCGGCCUAACUCCGUG